RNAcentral lists this ribosomal RNA (252 nucleotides) under uncultured bacterium. RNAcentral describes it as "partial 16S ribosomal RNA". It matches the Rfam family "Bacterial small subunit ribosomal RNA", at positions 524 to 776 of the family's 1533-position model. The record is from RNAcentral.
UACGGAGGAUGCGAGCGUUAUCCGGAUUUAUUGGGUUUAAAGGGUGCGUAGGCGGGAUGCCAAGUCAGCGGUAAAAAUGCGGUGCUCAACGCCGUCGAGCCGUUGAAACUGGCGUACUUGAGUGGGCGAGAAGUAUGCGGAAUGCGUGGUGUAGCGGUGAAAUGCAUAGAUAUCACGCAGAACUCCGAUUGCGAAGGCAGCAUACCGGCGCCCUACUGACGCUGAGGCACGAAAGCGUGGGUAUCGAACAGG